Molecule: ribosomal RNA, 450 nt
Filed under: uncultured Glomeromycotina
Lineage: Eukaryota; Fungi; Glomeromycota
Description: SSU rRNA
Rfam family: Eukaryotic small subunit ribosomal RNA
Source: RNAcentral
AGCAGCCGCGGUAAUUCCAGCUCCAAUAGCGUAUAUUAAAGUUGUUGCAGUUAAAAAGCUCGUAGUUGAAUUUCGGGAUCAAUACGUCGGUCGUGCUUCGGUACGUACCGGCGUCAUUGGUUUCUCCCUUCUGACGAACCAUGAUGUCAUUAACUUGGUGUCAUGGGAAAUCAGGACUGUUACUUUGAAAAAAUUAGAGUGUUUAAAGCAGGCUCACGCUUGAAUACAUUAGCAUGGAAUAAUGAAAUAGGACGUUCGAUCCUAUUUUGUUGGUUUCUAGGAUCAACGUAAUGAUUAAUAGGGAUAGUUGGGGGCAUUAGUAUUCAAUUGUCAGAGGUGAAAUUCUUGGAUUUAUUGAAGACUAACUACUGCGAAAGCAUUUGCCAAGAAUGUUUUCAUUAAUCAAGAACGAAAGUUAGGGGAUCGAAGACGAUCAGAUACCGUCGUAGU